Molecule: long non-coding RNA, 400 nt
Organism: Apodemus sylvaticus (European woodmouse)
Lineage: Eukaryota; Metazoa; Chordata; Mammalia; Rodentia; Muridae
Exons: 2
Source: RefSeq, a predicted model, not a curated record
UUGGCAAGUAUGGAGCCACAGUCCAGUACAAUGAAAAGGUUCUAGAUCCGUCCUUCAGGAGCGCCCGCAGCACGUGGUGAAUGUGCUUACUGCCAAUGGCCGAACAGGGCUCAAGAGGCACAUUUUACCGCAUCAGAAGGAAGGUGGUGCCACGGAAGACACUGAGACCCUCGUCCACCCUGAGGUGGCACCAGAGGAAUCUAUGCAGCGAGCACGGACUGAGGAGCCCUUGUCUCUUGGUUUUUCUCUGGUUUGCCUUUCGCAGUCGCUGCCUCUAGAGAGUCAAGUUCUUGUGCCUUCGGCCUUUCCCCUCUCCUAGAAUUGUACUGCUCUUUGUAGCCGUCAUUCCUUCCCCUAGCCCAUGUGCUGCACUUUUAGUAAACUAUUUUUCUCCUGUUAA